GCCUUCGUGGUGUAAUGGUCAGCACACUGAGCCGGUAUUUCAGAGGUCCGCGGUUCGAUUCCCGGCGAGGGCC
This 73-nucleotide transfer RNA is filed under the name Stegodyphus mimosarum. It matches the Rfam family "tRNA". Rfam says of the family: Transfer RNA (tRNA) molecules are approximately 80 nucleotides in length. Their secondary structure includes four short double-helical elements and three loops (D, anti-codon, and T loops). Further hydrogen bonds mediate the characteristic L-shaped molecular structure. tRNAs have two regions of fundamental functional importance: the anti-codon, which is responsible for specific mRNA codon recognition, and the 3' end, to which the tRNAs corresponding amino acid is attached (by aminoacyl-tRNA synthetases). tRNAs cope with the degeneracy of the genetic code in two manners: having more than one tRNA (with a specific anti-codon) for a particular amino acid; and 'wobble' base-pairing, i.e. permitting non-standard base-pairing at the 3rd anti-codon position. The record is from Rfam by way of RNAcentral. Lineage: Eukaryota; Metazoa; Arthropoda; Arachnida; Araneae; Eresidae.